Long non-coding RNA from Jaculus jaculus (lesser Egyptian jerboa), 560 nucleotides. RefSeq lists it as uncharacterized. The record is from RefSeq and is a predicted model, not a curated record. The transcript is spliced from 2 exons. NCBI's taxonomy places the organism in Eukaryota, Metazoa, Chordata, Mammalia, Rodentia, Dipodidae.
GGCGACGAUCAGGGCGCGCGGGUGUCCGGGGGCCAGGUCCAGGGCCGGACGCGGCCAGCCAUUCAGGAAGGCAGCGCUGGGGAGCUGGAGGCGGCCGGCGAGGAGGAUCACACACUUUGCUCUUUUUGUUGUGCCGGUGGCGCCCGGCUCUCGCUGCUGCCUUCUUCUUCUUUCCGGAGGUGACGGAAGGGAGAGAAAAAUACGGGAUAAUUCACGCCGGCGACGAUUUCACAGCAAAAUAGGAAAAAAAUUUUUAAAAAAAAAAAUCUGAAGAAAACACUUGAAAAAAAAGGAAGGCAAAAGAGAAAGCGAGAGAGACAUCCAAAGUUUGAUUACGACAGAACACUCGUGGGAUUGAAGCUAUUGCCACAAAUUCGAUCUGAAUCGACGUUCCCUAUUCAUCCCAAAGAUGAUUUUAAAGUCAACUUUCCCAUCAAUUCUGGUUUUUUUUUUUUUUCCCCCCUUGCUGCUGCUGCUGCUUCUUCUUUUAAUCCCCAGGCCUAUUCCAAACUCCAAACAAAGCUUCAACAAUAUUAAUAAAACAGCAGUAUGCGCUCAUA